AUAAGGGCGCACGGUGGAUGCCUUGGCACUAGGAGCCGAUGAAGGACGGGACUAACACCGAUAUGCUUUGGGGAGCUGUACGUAAGCUAUGAUCCAGAGAUUUCCGAAUGGGGGAACCCAGCAUCUUUUAUAGGAUGUUACGUUUGCGUGAAUACAUAGCGCAUUCGAGGUAGACGCAGAGAACUGAAACAUCUAAGUACCUGCAGGAAGAGAAAGAAAAUUCGAUUCCCUGAGUAGCGGCGAGCGAAACGGGAAAAGCCCAAACCAAUGAGCUUGCUCAUUGGGGUUGUAGGACUCCAAUAUGGUAGUUCUUUCAGAUAGUCGAAUGACUUGGAAAAGUCAGUCAAAGAGGGUAAAAACCCCGUAGAUGAAAUUUGGAAGGCACCUAGGAGGAUCCUGAGUACGGCGGAAC
Molecule: ribosomal RNA, 412 nt
Filed under: Enterococcus hirae
Lineage: Bacteria; Bacillati; Bacillota; Bacilli; Lactobacillales; Enterococcaceae
Description: partial 23S ribosomal RNA
Rfam family: Bacterial large subunit ribosomal RNA
Source: RNAcentral